Molecule: ribosomal RNA, 1449 nt
Filed under: uncultured bacterium
Lineage: Bacteria
Description: bacterial SSU rRNA
Rfam family: Bacterial small subunit ribosomal RNA
Source: RNAcentral
AGGGUUUGAUCAUGGCUCAGGAUGAACGCUGGCGGCGUGCUUAACACAUGCAAGUCGAACGAACCUUCGGGUUAGUGGCGGACGGGUGAGUAACGCGUGAGAAUCUGCCCUCAGGAGGGGGAUAACGGUUGGAAACGACCGCUAAUACCCCAUAUGCCUAUUGGUGAAAUGAAUUUCGCCUGAGGAUGAGCUCGCGUCUGAUUAGCUAGUUGGUGAGGUAAUGGCUCACCAAGGCUUCGAUCAGUAGCUGGUCUGAGAGGAUGAUCAGCCACACUGGGACUGAGACACGGCCCAGACUCCUACGGGAGGCAGCAGUGGGGAAUUUUCCGCAAUGGGCGAAAGCCUGACGGAGCAACGCCGCGUGAGGGACGAAGGCCUCUGGGCUGUAAACCUCUUUUCUCAAGGAAGAAGAUAUGACGGUACUUGAGGAAUAAGCCACGGCUAAUUCCGUGCCAGCAGCCGCGGUAAUACGGGAGUGGCAAGCGUUAUCCGGAAUUAUUGGGCGUAAAGCGUCCGCAGGCGGCUUUUCAAGUCUGCUGUUAAAGCGUGGAGCUUAACUCCAUCAUGGCAGUGGAAACUGAAAGGCUUGAGUAUGGUAGGGGCAGAGGGAAUUCCCGGUGUAGCGGUGAAAUGCGUAGAUAUCGGGAAGAACACCAGUGGCGAAGGCGCUCUGCUGGGCCAUUACUGACGCUCAUGGACGAAAGCCAGGGGAGCGAAAGGGAUUAGAUACCCCUGUAGUCCUGGCAGUAAACGAUGAACACUAGGUGUCGGGGGAAUCGACCCCUUCGGUGUCGUAGCUAACGCGUUAAGUGUUCCGCCUGGGGAGUACGCACGCAAGUGUGAAACUCAAAGGAAUUGACGGGGGCCCGCACAAGCGGUGGAGUAUGUGGUUUAAUUCGAUGCAACGCGAAGAACCUUACCAGGGUUUGACAUCCUGCGAACCUCUUAGAAAUUUGAGGGUGCCUUCGGGAAUGCAGUGACAGGUGGUGCAUGGCUGUCGUCAGCUCGUGUCGUGAGAUGUUGGGUUAAGUCCCGCAACGAGCGCAACCCACGUUUUUAGUUGCCAGCAUUUAGUUGGGCACUCUAGAAAGACCGCCGGUGAUAAACCGGAGGAAGGUGUGGAUGACGUCAAGUCAUCAUGCCCCUUACACCCUGGGCUACACACGUACUACAAUGCUACGGACAAAGGGCAGCAAACUCGCGAGAGCUAGCAAAUCCCAUAAACCGUGGCUCAGUUCAGAUCGUAGGCUGCAACUCGCCUACGUGAAGUAGGAAUCGCUAGUAAUCGCAGGUCAGCAUACUGCGGUGAAUACGUUCCCGGGCCUUGUACACACCGCCCGUCACACCAUGGAAGUUGGCCAUGCCCGAAGUCGUUACUCCAACCCUUGUGGAGGAGGACGCCGAAGGUGGGGCUAAUGACUGGGGUGAAGUCAUAACAAGGUAGCCGUA